CCUACGGGAGGCAGCAGUGGGGAAUAUUGGACAAUGGGCGAAAGCCUGAUCCAGCAAUGCCGCGUGAGUGAUGAAGGCCUUCGGGUCGUAAAGCUCUUUUACCAGGGACGAUAAUGACAGUACCUGGAGAAUAAGCUCCGGCUAACUCCGUGCCAGCAGCCGCGGUAAUACGGAGGGAGCUAGCGUUGUUCGGAAUUACUGGGCGUAAAGAGUACGUAGGCGGUUAUUCAAGUCAGAGGUGAAAGCCCGGGGCUCAACCCCGGAACUGCCUUUGAAACUAGAUAACUAGAGUCUUGGAGAGGUUAGUGGAAUUCCGAGUGUAGAGGUGAAAUUCGUAGAUAUUCGGAAGAACACCAGUGGCGAAGGCGACUAACUGGACAAGUACUGACGCUGAGUACGAAAGCGUGGGGAGCAAACAGGAUUAGAUACCCUGGUAGUCCACGCCGUAAACGAUGAUAACUAGUUGUUCGGUCACUUGGUGACUGAGUGACCGCAGCUACGACAUUAAGUUAUUCCGUCCGUCGGGUAGGUACGGUCGCGAGAAUUAAACUAACAAGAAGUUAGUACGGCGUGAGACGUGCCGAACGGACGACGACGAGGGAGGUAGG
RNAcentral lists this ribosomal RNA (608 nucleotides) under uncultured bacterium. RNAcentral describes it as "bacterial SSU rRNA". The stretch from base 1 to 519 matches the Rfam family "Bacterial small subunit ribosomal RNA", at positions 338 to 873 of the family's 1533-position model. The record is from RNAcentral.